Molecule: long non-coding RNA, 939 nt
Filed under: Olea europaea subsp. europaea
Lineage: Eukaryota; Viridiplantae; Streptophyta; Magnoliopsida; Lamiales; Oleaceae
Source: RNAcentral
AAUUAAUUGCAGUAUUUUUGAAGGCACACCCUUACAAUAAAGAAUGAAUUAUCAAAAUUUUUACAAUCCACUUCUCCAGGCAACAUUAAUCGUUUAAUAUUUCAUGAAUGUUUAUAUGGUUUUCCUCUAUUUGGGAAGAACACAAAUAACUCAUAAAACAAUUAAGGUAAAAAAAAAAGUUUAGAGACUUUUUAAGUAACUGACCAAUUUCAUUUUUCAAUUUUAAAUGACACUCCACUAACUUGAUGAAAUGCAGUACCAAUAUGCUGCGACGUUGUGUAAAUUGAAAAUGAGUGGAAGAGAAAUAAUUCAAUUGAAUACAAAAUUAGAGUGUAGACAACUAAUGAGUUAUUUAUCUCUAAUGACCCAAAAUUGAUUAAUAAACUGUAUUUAAUUAAUGGACUAUCUCCAAUGAAUAUAAAAUUACGGUCUCCACUAAUUAUUAUAUAUAAAAUUAAAUAUUAAGUUUGGUUUGGUUCUGAUUUUUGAACUAGAACUAAACCAUAACCAAAACUAAAUAGUUUUCGGUUCAAAGAACCAAAACCAUUAAUUUUUUUGAUAGAACUGAACUCAACCGCUUGGUUUGGUUUUGUUCGGUUCUGGUCUGAUUUGGUUUGGUCUGGACAUUUUGUUCACCCCUACAUAUAAUAGAAUGGAACAGAUGAAGUAUGGUUUUACUUUCAUGGUAUAGUAUAAAAUAAAUGCAGAAUGAAGAUAAUAUAGAUGUGUUCGCCCACAGCCCUAGAGACAGGAGUAUCAAUUCAGUUUGAAAUGUUCUGAUGCAUUAAUCAAACUUCUUUUAUUUUCUCACUUGAAAUUUCUAUAAUAAUCACCUGACUGCUCUUGCAUUUCCUUUUUCUCCAUCCCCAGCCUGUAAACAUGGAUAACACACAAAAUUGAGUCAUAGCCAGGUUAUCUUAUCCCUUGGAAAAUGUAUAC